Molecule: long non-coding RNA, 1174 nt
Organism: Lolium perenne
Lineage: Eukaryota; Viridiplantae; Streptophyta; Magnoliopsida; Poales; Poaceae
Source: RefSeq, a predicted model, not a curated record
CUACUGCAGCCCACUGACUUAUCCAAUUUCAUGUUCAUCGUGAUAUCCUUGCAAGAUUAAUAGUAAUUCUUAUCUUUGGGUUGCAUGAUGAGCUUGUAGGUCAGAUUCUUUAUUUGUAGCGAUGUACAUGGUUCUGAAUAAUGCAAUUUCUGUGUACUAGAAGAUAUGCAUUUCUUGACAGGGUCCUGAUGCAUUCCCUGACAUGGACCAGCUGCCUAUUUUUAAUAGAGCAUUGUUGAUGGUUUUUAGUCCUAUGAUGCUUGAACUCCAGCAUUGUGGAUACUUGUUAGUCAAAUAUAUUUGGAUAGGGCUUCUCACAUAAUAUGGCAUUGAGGCAUGUAAAUAAUAAAUGAGUUUUGCCCAACCAGUUAGUUCUAUUAAUGCUCUGCAAUUACUCAAUGGUUGUAGUGCUUUCAGAUGAUCGGUUACUUUUCCUUGCAGAACGGUGGUGUGAUAUGUUCUCAGUUUGUGUACUCCACCUAGGAUUAAACUGCAGAGGCUGCUGCAUCUUGAAUAAUGUAUGCCACGGUGCAGUACAACCCACUCUAGCAGCGGCACUCCUUCGUUUGUUAGUCACAGCAUGAGUACUUUUGUCUAUAUUGACUUGAUAUGGCGGAGACUCCUGUGACUCUUGGAAGUACUUGAUGUUGUGACAUCAUCAAAUUACCUCGGACAUUAAUUCUCACAUUGGCUUCUUAGGGUGGCUUCAAAAAUCUAUGGGGUGCAAAGAAGUGCUAGGUCUAGGUCCAUAAAAGAAGAGAUCCUUGGUAGGAAGUCGAGAUCUCCAUGAGCCCAAUGGCAUAGUAUGCUAUCCAAUGAAGCUGAUUCAGCCUGAACUACUCAGGCUUAUUCUCUUCACUUUAUCAGGUUAUUUUCAAAGGUUGCAGCCAAGCACAUUAUCACCUUAUGUUCUAGAGACUUUUUGGGAGGUGACGGAGUAGAAUGUUCUUGCUAAUCAGCUUCUUGGGAAGGUUUGGUUUUGUGCUCAUGAACCAUUAGAUGAUGUCCUGAACAUCUGCUGCAAAGUAGUUCCAGUAACCUGAUGCCGAGUAGUACCAACGGGUAUUCCAGGUACUCGUGCUCUUGUACCCAUCCUAACACAACAACACUAAAUUAGUUUUAGUUCUUUGUGUAAGCCUGUGUCAUAAAAUAGAUUAUAUACUUCAGCUUUGCA